Molecule: ribosomal RNA, 685 nt
Filed under: uncultured Gammaproteobacteria bacterium
Lineage: Bacteria; Pseudomonadati; Pseudomonadota; Gammaproteobacteria
Description: bacterial SSU rRNA
Rfam family: Bacterial small subunit ribosomal RNA
Source: RNAcentral
GCGCGGGGAGCUUGCUCCCUGGCGGCGAGUGGCGGACGGGUGAGUAACACGUAGGAAUCUGCCCAGUAGUGGGGGACAACUCGAGGAAACUCGAGCUAAUACCGCAUACGCCCUACGGGGGAAAGCGGGGGACCUUCGGGCCUCGCGCUAUUGGAUGAGCCUACGUCUGAUUAGCUUGUUGGUGGGGUAAAGGCCUACCAAGGCGACGAUCAGUAGCUGGUCUGAGAGGACGAUCAGCCACACUGGGACUGAGACACGGCCCAGACUCCUACGGGAGGCAGCAGUGGGGAAUAUUGGACAAUGGGCGCAAGCCUGAUCCAGCAAUGCCGCGUGUGUGAAGAAGGCCUUCGGGUUGUAAAGCACUUUCAGUAGGGAAGAAACACCAGGUGCCAAUACCACCUGGGAAUGACGUUACCUACAGAAGAAGCACCGGCUAACUCUGUGCCAGCAGCCGCGGUAAUACAGAGGGUGCGAGCGUUAAUCGGAAUUACUGGGCGUAAAGCGCGCGUAGGUGGUUUGGUAAGUCGGAUGUGAAAGCCCCGGGCUUAACCUGGGAAUGCCAUUCGAUACUGCCAGGCUAGAGUAUGGUAGAGGGAAGCGGAAUUCCGGGUGUAGCGGUGAAAUGCGUAGAUAUCCGGAGGAACACCAGUGGCGAAGGCGGCUUCCUGGACCAAUACUGACACUG